Molecule: ribosomal RNA, 311 nt
Filed under: uncultured Gammaproteobacteria bacterium
Lineage: Bacteria; Pseudomonadati; Pseudomonadota; Gammaproteobacteria
Description: bacterial SSU rRNA
Rfam family: Bacterial small subunit ribosomal RNA
Source: RNAcentral
UGUCGUCAGCUCGUGUCGUGAGAUGUUGGGUUAAGUCCCGUAACGAGCGCAAACCCUUGUCCUUAGUUACCAGCACGUAAUGGUGGGAACUCUAAGGAGACUGCCGGUGACAAACCGGAGGAAGGUGGGGAUGACGUCAAGUCAUCAUGGCCCUUACGGCCAGGGCUACACACGUGCUACAAUGGUCGGUACAAAGGGUUGCNAAGCCGCGAGGUGGAGCUAAUCCCAUAAAACCGAUCGUAGUCCGGAUCGCAGUCUGCAACUCGACUGCGNGAAGUCGGAAUCGCUAGUAAUCGUGAAUCAGAAUGUCA